AUUGAACGCUGGCGGCAGGCUUAACACAUGCAAGUCGAGCGGUAGCACAAGAGAGCUUGCUCUCUGGGUGACGAGCGGCGGACGGGUGAGUAAUGUCUGGGAAACUGCCUGAUGGAGGGGGAUAACUACUGGAAACGGUAGCUAAUACCGCAUAACGUCGCAAGACCAAAGAGGGGGACCUUCGGGCCUCUUGCCAUCAGAUGUGCCCAGAUGGGAUUAGCUAGUAGGUGGGGUAAUGGCUCACCUAGGCGACGAUCCCUAGCUGGUCUGAGAGGAUGACCAGCCACACUGGAACUGAGACACGGUCCAGACUCCUACGGGAGGCAGCAGUGGGGAAUAUUGCACAAUGGGCGCAAGCCUGAUGCAGCCAUGCCGCGUGUGUGAAGAAGGCCUUCGGGUUGUAAAGCACUUUCAGCGAGGAGGAAGGUGGUGAACUUAAUACGUUCAUCAAUUGACGUUACUCGCAGAAGAAGCACCGGCUAACUCCGUGCCAGCAGCCGCGGUAAUACUGAGGGUGCAAGCGUUAAUCGGAAUUACUGGGCGUAAAGCGCACGCAGGCGGUUUGUUAGUCAGAUGUGAAAUCCCCGGGCUCAACCUGGGAACUGCAUCUGAAACUGGCAAGCUAGAGCCUCGUAGAGGGGGGUAGAAUUCCAGGUGUAGCGGUGAAAUGCGUAGAGAUCUGGAGGAAUACCGGUGGCGAAGGCGGCCCCCUGGACGAAGACUGACGCUCAGGUGCGAAAGCGUGGGGAGCAAACAGGAUUAGAUACCCUGGUAGUCCACGCUGUAAACGAUGUCGAUUUGGAGGUUGUGCCCUUGAGGCGUGGCUUCCGGAGCUAACGCGUUAAAUCGACCGCCUGGGGAGUACGGCCGCAAGGUUAAAACUCAAAUGAAUUGACGGGGGCCCGCACAAGCGGUGGAGCAUGUGGUUUAAUUCGAUGCAACGCGAAGAACCUUACCUACUCUUGACAUCCAGAGAACUUUCCAGAGAUGGAUUGGUGCCUUCGGGAACUCUGGGACAGGUGCUGCAUGGCUGUCGUCAGCUCGUGUUGUGAAAUGUUGGGUUAAGUCCCGCAACGAGCGCAACCCUUAUCCUUUGUUGCCAGCGGUUCGGCCGGGAACUCAAAGGAGACUGCCAGUGAUAAACUGGAGGAAGGUGGGGAUGACGUCAAGUCAUCAUGGCCCUUACGAGUAGGGCUACACACGUGCUACAAUGGCAUAUACAAAGAGAAGCGACCUCGCGAGAGCAAGCGGACCUCAUAAAGUAUGUCGUAGUCCGGAUUGGAGUCUGCAACUCGACUCCAUGAAGUCGGAAUCGCUAGUAAUCGUAGAUCAGAAUGCUACGGUGAAUACGUUCCCGGGCCU
This 1362-nucleotide ribosomal RNA is filed under the name uncultured bacterium. RNAcentral's name for it is "bacterial SSU rRNA". It matches the Rfam family "Bacterial small subunit ribosomal RNA", at positions 28 to 1381 of the family's 1533-position model. The record is from RNAcentral.